GAUGAACGCUGGCGGCGUGCCUAAUACAUGCAAGUCGAGCGAACAGAUGAGGAGCUUGCUCCUCUGACGUUAGCGGCGGACGGGUGAGUAACACGUGGAUACCCUAUCUAUAAGACUGGGAUAAAUUCGAGAAACCGGAGAUAAUACCGUAUAAUAUAUUGAUCCGUAUGGUUCACUAAUAAAAGACGGUUUUACUAUCACUUAUUGGUGGAUCCGCGCAGCAUUAGCUAGUUGGUAAGGUUACGGGUUAACAAAGCCACGAUGCGUAGACGGACUGAGAAGGUGGAUGGCCCACCCUGGAACUGGGACACGGUCCAGACUCUUACGGGGGGCAGCAGAAGGGAAUUUUCCGAAAUGGGCGAAAGCCGGACGGAGCAACGCCGGGUGAGGGAUGAAGGUCUUCGGAUCGUAAAACUCUGUUAUUAGGGAAGAACAAAUGUGUAAGUAACUAUGCACGUCUUGACGGUACCUAAUCAGAAAGCCACGGCUAACUACGUG
RNAcentral lists this ribosomal RNA (498 nucleotides) under uncultured bacterium. Its description in RNAcentral is "partial 16S ribosomal RNA". It matches the Rfam family "Bacterial small subunit ribosomal RNA", at positions 28 to 507 of the family's 1533-position model. The record is from RNAcentral.